Molecule: microRNA precursor, 57 nt
Filed under: Podarcis lilfordi (Lilford's wall lizard)
Lineage: Eukaryota; Metazoa; Chordata; Lepidosauria; Squamata; Lacertidae
Source: RNAcentral
UGUGUGUGUGUGUGUGUGUGUGUGUCUGUGAGACACACACACACACACACACACACG